Molecule: ribosomal RNA, 253 nt
Filed under: uncultured bacterium
Lineage: Bacteria
Description: partial 16S ribosomal RNA
Rfam family: Bacterial small subunit ribosomal RNA
Source: RNAcentral
UACGGAGGGAGCUAGCGUUGUUCGGAAUUACUGGGCGUAAAUCGCGCGUAGGCGGCUUUGUAAGUUAGAGGUGAAAGCCCGGGGCUCAACCCCGGAACUGCCUUUAAGACUGCAUCGCUUGAAUCCAGGAGAGGUGAGUGGAAUUCCGAGUGUAGAGGUGAAAUUCGUAGAUAUUCGGAAGAACACCAGUGGCGAAGGCGGCUCACUGGACUGGUAUUGACGCUGAUGUGCGAAAGCGUGGGGAGCAAACAGG